CGCUGGCGGCGUGCUUAACACAUGCAAGUCGAACGAUGAAGCCCAGCUUGCUGGGUGGAUUAGUGGCGAACGGGUGAGUAACACGUGGGUGAUCUGCCCUGCACUUCGGGAUAAGCCUGGGAAACUGGGUCUAAUACCGGAUAGGACCUCGGGAUGCAUGUUCCGGGGUGGAAAGGUUUUCCGGUGCAGGAUGGGCCCGCGGCCUAUCAGCUUGUUGGUGGGGUAACGGCCCACCAAGGCGACGACGGGUAGCCGGCCUGAGAGGGCGACCGGCCACACUGGGACUGAGACACGGCCCAGACUCCUACGGGAGGCAGCAGUGGGGAAUAUUGCACAAUGGGCGCAAGCCUGAUGCAGCGACGCCGCGUGAGGGAUGACGGCCUUCGGGUUGUAAACCUCUUUCAGUACCGACGAAGCGCGAGUGACGGUAGGUACAGAAGAAGCACCGGCCAACUACGUGCCAGCAGCCGCGGUAAUACGUAGGGUGCGAGCGUUGUCCGGAAUUACUGGGCGUAAAGAGCUCGUAGGCGGUUUGUCGCGUCGUCUGUGAAAACCCGCAGCUCAACUGCGGGCUUGCAGGCGAUACGGGCAGACUUGAGUACUGCAGGGGAACUGGAAUUCCUGGU
Molecule: ribosomal RNA, 626 nt
Filed under: Rhodococcus ruber
Lineage: Bacteria; Bacillati; Actinomycetota; Actinomycetes; Mycobacteriales; Nocardiaceae
Description: bacterial SSU rRNA
Rfam family: Bacterial small subunit ribosomal RNA
Source: RNAcentral